AUUGAACGCUGGCGGCAGGCCUACCCAUGCAAAUCGAACGGGUGGCGGACGGGUGAGUAAUGUCUGGGCAACCGCCCGCUGGAGGGGGAUAACUACUGGCAACGGUAGCUAAUACCGCCUACCAUCGGAUGCUCCCAGGUGGGAUGAGCUAGUAGGUGGGGUAACGGACCACCUAGGCGACGAUCCGUAGCUGGUCUGAGAGGAUGACCCGUCACACUGGAACUGAGACACGGUCCAGACUCCUACGGGAGGCAGCAGUGGGGAAUAUUGCACAAUGGGCGAAAGCCUGAUGCAGCCAUGCCGCGUGUAUGAAGAAGGCCUUCGGGUUGUAAAGUACUUUCAGCGAGGAGGCGUUACUCGCAGAAGAAGCACCGGCUAACUCCGUGCCAGCAGCCGCGGUAAUAC
This 405-nucleotide ribosomal RNA is filed under the name uncultured bacterium. Its description in RNAcentral is "partial 16S ribosomal RNA". It matches the Rfam family "Bacterial small subunit ribosomal RNA", at positions 30 to 526 of the family's 1533-position model. The record is from RNAcentral.